CUCAACUCCGGUUCGGCAGUGGAAACUGGUGGGCUAGAGGGCGACAGGGGUAGAGGGAAUUCCCAGUGUAGCGGUGAAAUGCGUAGAGAUUGGGAAGAACACCGGUGGCGAAAGCGCUCUACUGGGUCGCACCUGACCCUCAGGGACGAAAGCUAAGGUAGCGAAAGGGAUAGAUACCCCUGUAGUCUUAGCCGUAAACGAUGGAUACUAGGCGUGGUUGGUAUCGACCCCAGCCGUGCCGAAGCUAACGCGUUAGGUAUCCCGCCUGGGGAGUACGCACGCAAGUGUGAAACUCAAAGGAAUUGACGGGGGCCCGCACAAGCGGUGGAGGAUGUGGUUUAAUUCGAUGCAACGCGAAGAACCUUACCAGGGCUUGACAUCCCGCGAAUCCCAGUGAAAGCUGGGAGUGCCUUCGGGAGCGC
RNAcentral lists this ribosomal RNA (422 nucleotides) under uncultured cyanobacterium. RNAcentral describes it as "bacterial SSU rRNA". It matches the Rfam family "Bacterial small subunit ribosomal RNA", at positions 608 to 1029 of the family's 1533-position model. Lineage: Bacteria; Bacillati; Cyanobacteriota. The record is from RNAcentral.